Long non-coding RNA from Camelus dromedarius (Arabian camel), 152 nucleotides. RefSeq lists it as uncharacterized. The transcript is spliced from 3 exons. NCBI's taxonomy places the organism in Eukaryota, Metazoa, Chordata, Mammalia, Artiodactyla, Camelidae. The record is from RefSeq and is a predicted model, not a curated record.
CCUACCAUCUAGCAAGCCAAUGCCCUCACCCCAGUAAGGGGACAGGCUCUCAAGAAUUGCAUGGUAAAAGGUGGUCCAUAGAGAGGUGGGGAUUGCAGGGAUCUCCUGUUGCCCUUGUUUACCCAAGAAUCCAAGAGGAGCACUGACAGCCU